ACGCUGGCGGCAGGCCUAACACAUGCAAGUCGAGCGGAAACGAUGGGAGCUUGCUCCCAGGCGUCGAGCGGCGGACGGGUGAGUAAUGCAUAGGAAUCUGCCCGGUAGUGGGGGAUAACCUGGGGAAACCCAGGCUAAUACCGCAUACGUCCUACGGGAGAAAGCAGGGGCUCUUCGGACCUUGCGCUAUCGGAUGAGCCUAUGUCGGAUUAGCUGGUUGGUGAGGUAAUGGCUCACCAAGGCGACGAUCCGUAGCUGGUCUGAGAGGAUGAUCAGCCACAUCGGGACUGAGACACGGCCCGAACUCCUACGGGAGGCAGCAGUGGGGAAUAUUGGACAAUGGGCGCAAGCCUGAUCCAGCCAUCCCGCGUGUGUGAAGAAGGCCCUCGGGUUGUAAAGCACUUUCAGGGGGGAAGAAAGCCUUGCGGUUAAUACCCGCAAGGAAGGACAUCACCCACAGUAAGAAGCACCGGCUAACUCCGUGCCAGCAGCCGCGGUAAUACGGAGGGUGCGAGCGUUAAUCGGAAUUACUGGGCGUAAAGCGCGCGUAGGUGGCUUGAUAAGCCGGUUGUGAAAGCCCCGGGCUCAACCUGGGAACGGCAUCCGGAACUGUCAGGCUAGAGUGCAGGAGAGGAAGGUAGAAUUCCCGGUGUAGCGGUGAAAUGCGUAGAGAUCGGGAGGAAUACCAGUGGCGAAGGCGGCCUUCUGGACUGACACUGACACUGAGGUGCGAAAGCGUGGGUAGCAAACAGGAUUAGAUACCCUGGUAGUCCACGCCGUAAACGAUGUCGACUAGCCCGUUGGGUCCUUCGCGGACUUUGUGGCGCAGUUAACGCGAUAAGUCGACCGCCUGGGGAGUACGGCCGCAAGGUUAAAACUCAAAUGAAUUGACGGGGGCCCGCACAAGCGGUGGAGCAUGUGGUUUAAUUCGAUGCAACGCGAAGAACCUUACCUACCCUUGACAUCCUGCGAACCCUUCGGAGACGAAGGGGUGCCUUCGGGAGCGCAGAGACAGGUGCUGCAUGGCUGUCGUCAGCUCGUGUUGUGAAAUGUUGGGUUAAGUCCCGUAACGAGCGCAACCCUUGUCCCUAUUUGGCAGCGAUUCGGUCGGGAACUCUAGGGAGACUGCCGGUGACAAACCCGAGGAAGGUGGGGACGACGUCAAAUCAUCAUGGCCCUUACGGGUAGGGUUACACACGUGCUACAAUGGUCAGUACAAAGGGUUGCGAACUUGCGAAAAGUGAGCUAAUCCCAGAAAGCUGAUCUCAGUCCGGAUCGGAGUCUUCAACUCGACUCCGUGAAGUCGGAAUCGCUAGUAAUCCGUGAAUCAGAAUGUCACGGUGAAUACGUUCCCGGGCCUUGUACACACCGCCCGUCACACCAUGGGAGUGGACUGCAGCAGAAGUGGUUAGCCUAACCUUCGGGAGAACGAUCACCACGGUGUGGUUCAUGACUGGGGUGAAGUCGUAACAAGGUAUCCGU
RNAcentral lists this ribosomal RNA (1482 nucleotides) under bacterium 28N1. Its description in RNAcentral is "16S ribosomal RNA". It matches the Rfam family "Bacterial small subunit ribosomal RNA". Lineage: Bacteria; Pseudomonadati; Pseudomonadota; Gammaproteobacteria; Oceanospirillales; Halomonadaceae. The record is from RNAcentral.